CUUGAAAAUCAGGGAAAAGAGCUUCACUGCUGAUAUCAUACCUGGGAAUUUCUUUUACACCCGUUUGUCAUCACUUGCUGAAAAGAAUAUUAAGACCUGAUCGAUUGAUUGAUCACCCUGUGUCAGCUAAAGCUUGCGGUUGGCGAAGGGUAAGUGCAACGUGAGCCCUGCGUCAUUGACUCUUGACUUCUACUGCGAUCCAUUAUUGGUGGCAUGGAAAUUCUUAAUCCAAUCUCAAUGAUCAGCAGUCAGUCAUAGCCACUGGCCAUAUGAUUGAGCUUCCCACGUGGCCCAAAGUCCCUAACUUGUGGUAGCACAGACAGCAGCCACAGCAAGGCAUCACCACCAAACUAUUUCAAUUACACUGCCCUUAAUGCCAUAUAUCUCCUUUAAAAUGCUAUGGCUGACAACUUAACAUGCAUUUUAGGUACAACACUCCAUGCUAUUUCAGUUCGUCAGAGGUGAAGAAGUCUAUCCUGUUCUUGUGGGAGGUCACGGUGAUUCAUUGCCUGAUAUGUCGAAGCGUCUCUGAGCAGUCAUCAGUCAUAACUAAUUAACUAUGAGGAUGCAUUCCAACUACCUUUUUCUUUCUUUUGCUGCUGGGCUGGAUCAGGCCACCAACUCGUCAGAAGCCAAGCAGUGUAGGCAAGCACUGGCAGUUCAGCUUCAUCUGCGACGUCUCUCUCUCAUGACAUCUGGAACUACUACUGGUUACUGAUUGAUGGGGAACACUUAUACUGAAAGAUCGUGACUUGUAGGAAGAGAAGCUCUUUUCGAUGCAACCAAUGAUUUUUCAGAAGAGCCAAUAAUCCUUCUCUAAAAUUUUCUUUCAUCCAGAAAGAGAAUUGGUUGUUCAGUAUGCUUCUAUCUACGCGUGCAUGUUGUUUCUGGUUAAUUUUAUUUGCAGAGAGACUAGAGAAUGGCUAGGUACAGAAUUUAUGGAUAUAUAUUUGACAAAGGUCAUUAUGUCCUUUACCUGCAAAGAUACAUUAUAAAUAAAUCAUAAUAUGCUUACUUCUCUUUGA
Molecule: long non-coding RNA, 1025 nt
Organism: Oryza brachyantha (malo sina)
Lineage: Eukaryota; Viridiplantae; Streptophyta; Magnoliopsida; Poales; Poaceae
Exons: 5
Source: RefSeq, a predicted model, not a curated record